CUCUGUCUUUUGGGACGAUAAUGACGGUACCAAAGGAGGAAGCCACGGCUAACUACGUGCCAGCAGCCGCGGUAAUACGUAGGUGGCAAGCGUUGUCCGGAAUUACUGGGCGUAAAGGAUGUGUAGGCGGAUAUUUAAGUGAGAUGUGAAAUCCCCGAGCUCAACUUGGGGGCUGCAUUUCAAACUGGGUAUCUAGAGUGCAGGAGAGGAAAGCGGAAUUCCUAGUGUAGCGGUGAAAUGCGUAGAGAUUAGGAAGAACAUCAGUGGCGAAGGCGGCUUUCUGGACUGUAACUGACGCUGAGGCAUGAAAGCGUGGGGAGCAAACAGGAUUAGAUACCCUGGUAGUCCACGCCGUAAACGAUGAGUACUAGGUGUAGGAGGUAUCGACUCCUUCUGUGCCGCAGUUAACACAAUAAGUACUCCGCCUGGGAAGUACGGUCGCAAGAUUAAAACUCAAAGGAAUUGACGGGGGCCCGCACAAGCAGCGGAGCAUGUGGUUUAAUUCGAAGCAACGCGAAGAACCUUACCUAGACUUGACAUCCCCUGAAUAACGUAGAGAUACGCGAAGCCCUUCGGGGCAGGGAGACAGGUGGUGCAUGGUUGUCGUCAGCUCGUGUCGUGAGAUGUUGGGUUAAGUCCCGCAACGAGCGCAACCCUUAUCAUUAGUUGCUACCAUUUAGUUGAGCACUCUAGUGAGACUGCCCGGGUUAACCGGGAGGAAGGCGGGGAUGACGUCAAAUCAUCAUGCCCCUUAUGUCUAGGGCUACACACGUGCUACAAUGGUGAGAACAACGAGAUGCAAUACCGCGAGGUGGAGCAAAACUUCAAAACUCAUCUCAGUUCGGAUUGUAGGCUGAAACUCGCCUACAUGAAGUUGGAGUUGCUAGUAAUCGCGAAUCAGAAUGUCGCGGUGAAUACGUUCCCGGGCCUUGUACACACCGCCCGUCACACCAUGAGAGCUGGUAACACCCGAAGUCCGUGAGGUAACCUUUAUUGGGGCCAGCGGCCGAAGGUGGGAUUAGUGAUUGGGGUGAAGUCGUAACAAGGUAGCCGUAGGAGAACCUGCGGCUGGAUCACCUCCUUU
Molecule: non-coding RNA, 1084 nt
Filed under: Clostridium acidisoli DSM 12555
Lineage: Bacteria; Bacillati; Bacillota; Clostridia; Eubacteriales; Clostridiaceae
Description: Bacterial small subunit ribosomal RNA
Rfam family: Bacterial small subunit ribosomal RNA
Source: Rfam by way of RNAcentral